This is a long non-coding RNA of Malaclemys terrapin pileata, 593 nucleotides long. RefSeq lists it as uncharacterized. The record is from RefSeq and is a predicted model, not a curated record. The transcript has 3 exons. Lineage: Eukaryota; Metazoa; Chordata; Testudines; Emydidae.
CCCUGGUGGAAGCAGGCUGCUGGGGCUGCUGCAUUUGAGAAACGUCGGCCUAGGCUAACCCGCAAAGCUCCGCACACAGCGUAGAAGGCAGGUUGCACGGAGGCUACACAGCCCUUCCCAACCUGCUAACGCCGCUUCACUGGCGCCAGGAGCCCCAGUGUGGUGCACGUGGACAGGAGGAGUGUUACGUGAUCCUGUACCUGUGACCUGGAGCUGCCCUUGACCAACCAGUCAUCGAGGCAGGGAAAGAUCUGGAACCCCAACGCCUGAGGGCCUUGCCGUCGAAUGGAAGGUCCUGCAAGGAGUUCUGUGCCUCGCUGGACAAUCCAGACAGCAGGAGCCAUGACGCUCUCCUCAUGGACACCACGGAGACCGUGGACCUUGCAGCCAUAUCUGCAGCAUCUUAGCUGCCUGAAGGGCUGCCCUGAUGGCAACCGUGCCCUCCUCAACCAGAGCCUUAAACUCCUUAUCACGCUCCUGGAGGGAGUCUGCAAAUUUGGGCAUUGAGCCCCACAAAUUAAAGUUGUAUCUGCCCAGCAGUUUUGGUGGUUUGCCACCCUCAGUUGGAAGCUUGAGGACGAAUAAAUCUUUCU